UGGAUGGCGGCAGCUACACAUGCAAGUCGUACGAGAAGGUUCCUUCGGGAACUGGAGAGUGGCGCACGGGUGAGUAACGCGUGGGGACCUACCUCUUAGUGGGGGAUAACGGUUGGAAACGACCGCUAAUACCGCAUACGCCCUUCGGGGGAAAGAUUUAUCGCUAAGAGAUGGACCCGCGUUGGAUUAGAUAGUUGGUGAGGUAACGGCUCACCAAGUCAGCGAUCCAUAGCUGGUUUGAGAGGAUGAUCAGCCACACUGGGACUGAGACACGGCCCAGACUCCUACGGGAGGCAGCAGUGGGGAAUAUUGGACAAUGGGCGCAAGCCUGAUCCAGCCAUGCCGCGUGAGUGAAGAAGGCCUUCGGGUUGUAAAGCUCUUUCAGAUGCGAAGAUGAUGACGGUAACAUCAGAAGAAGCCCCGGCUAAUUUCGUGCCAGCAGCCGCGGUAAUACGAAAGGGGCAAGCGUUGUUCGGAUUUACUGGGCGUAAAGGGCACGCAGGCGGUCCUGCCAGUCAGGGGUGAAAGCCCGGGGCUCAACCCCGGAACUGCCUCUGAUACUGCAGGACUAGAGACUAGGAGAGGGUGGUGGAAUUCCCAGUGUAGAGGUGAAAUUCGUAGAUAUUGGGAGGAACACCAGAGGCGAAGGCGGCCACCUGGACUAGAUCUGACGCUCAGGUGCGAAAGCGUGGGGAGCAAACAGGAUUAGAUACCUGUGGGUAGUCAAG
RNAcentral lists this ribosomal RNA (728 nucleotides) under Thalassospira sp. RNAcentral describes it as "bacterial SSU rRNA". It matches the Rfam family "Bacterial small subunit ribosomal RNA", at positions 33 to 798 of the family's 1533-position model. Lineage: Bacteria; Pseudomonadati; Pseudomonadota; Alphaproteobacteria; Rhodospirillales; Thalassospiraceae. The record is from RNAcentral.